Molecule: long non-coding RNA, 204 nt
Filed under: Capsicum annuum
Lineage: Eukaryota; Viridiplantae; Streptophyta; Magnoliopsida; Solanales; Solanaceae
Description: long non-coding RNA (CANN_LNC006725)
Source: RNAcentral
UGAGGUCUUAGGUCAAGUAGAGUUUGGAUGGGAGGGUUCGGGUUUGGUAAUGGUAUUUGGGUUCCAAGCCCUUCUUGUUGGACUUGGUGGAGUGGAGGAUGGCUUGGUCUAUCUUGUUCUGGGCUUUGGGAGUAAAGAUUGGUUUGAUUUAUGACAAUUGGUGUAUAUUGCAUUUGGUGCAAGGUCUCGGGAGUAUUAGUUGGG